UACGUAGGGCGCAAGCGUUUGUCCGGAAUUUAUUGGGCGUAAAGAGCUCGUAGGCGGUUGUCGCGUCGACUGUGAAAACUCGGGGCUCAACUCCGAGCUUGCAGUCGAUACGGGCAGGCUAGAGUUCGGUAGGGGGAGACUGGAAUUCCUGGUGUAGCGGUGAAAUGCGCAGAUAUCAGGAGGAACACCGGUGGCGAAGGCGGGUCUCUGGGCCGAUACUGACGCUGAGGAGCGAAAGCGUGGGGAGCGAACAGG
This 255-nucleotide ribosomal RNA is filed under the name uncultured bacterium. RNAcentral's name for it is "partial 16S ribosomal RNA". It matches the Rfam family "Bacterial small subunit ribosomal RNA", at positions 524 to 776 of the family's 1533-position model. The record is from RNAcentral.